UUACUGUCUAUUCCUUGCAUGGACUAAUUCCCCUCUUUCAGAAGAAUCUUCCGUCUAUUGCUUUAGGCUGAGAUAGAUAUUCUUUCUGUCAUUUUGAGCUUAUCAUAUUUCUCCCUUCUCUUUCCUCCCUCCUAACCUUCCCAUAUAACCCUCACUGUUCACCGCCAACUUCACUAACUGUUACUGCAUGCAUAUGUAUAUACUUACACAUUUCUAAAUAUAACCUGUUCAAUUUAUAUAAUGCUACUUGUGGCCUGACUGCUUGCAGCCAAUUCUCUGGAGGAAGAUCACAUCUCCAACCCCCAGCUUUCCUCACUUGCCUGUCUUUCUCCUAUGACUGCUCUUCCCAAGAACACUGGCAGCCGAAAUUCUUCAAAAGGCAUUUUAAAAUAGAACAGCUAUGUGAUUAAUUGUAGGCUGUUUGUGAUUCUUGCAAAGUCUAACAUCCAGCUUUGUUUCAUUUAUUGGAACCCUGUGAUAAAUUGUCUGAAGAUACAUGAAUCUAGGAGUCACGAAUACUGCAGAGGUAAGCUAGUCCUAAGCUUACAGAGUGUGAUGGUCUUCCUUUGUGAUUGAAGCUUCCAUCAGAAAUUGCUAGCUUAAAGACUGUAGUGCAUUGGAAUCUAUCUAAAGGGCUUUAUCCUUUGAGAAACAACAACCUCAGUAAAAAGACCUCAUCACUUACAGCAAGGCUGGAUUGCACUCCUUUCUCCUAGCUUUGCACUCGCUUUGUAGUGG
This 738-nucleotide long non-coding RNA is filed under the name Rattus norvegicus (Norway rat). RNAcentral describes it as "long non-coding RNA NONRATT032684". Lineage: Eukaryota; Metazoa; Chordata; Mammalia; Rodentia; Muridae. The record is from RNAcentral.